Molecule: ribosomal RNA, 472 nt
Filed under: uncultured soil bacterium
Lineage: Bacteria
Description: bacterial SSU rRNA
Rfam family: Bacterial small subunit ribosomal RNA
Source: RNAcentral
AGGACGAACGCUGGCGGCGUGCUUAACACAUGCAAGUCGAGCGGAAAGGCCACUUCGGUGGUACUCGAGCGGCGAACUGGUGAGUAACACGUGAGUAAUCUGCCCUCCACUUUGGGAUAGCCACCGGAAACGGUGAUUAAUACCGGAUAUGACCUUGGCCCGCAUGGGUUGUGGUGGAAAGUUUUUCGGUGGGGGAUGUGCUCGCGGCCUAUCAGCUUGAUGGUGGGGUAAUGGCCUACCAUGGCUUCGACGGGUAGCCGGCCUGAGAGGGUGACCGGCCACACUGGGACUGAGACACGGCCCAGACUCCUACGGGAGCAGCAGUGGGGAAUAUUGGACAAUGGGCGGAAGCCUGAUCCAGCAACGCGCGUGAGGGAUGACGGCCUUCGGGUGUAAACCUCUUUCAGCACAGACGAAGCGAAAGUGACGUAUGUGCAGAAGAAGCACCGGCCAACUACGUGCCAGCAGCCGC